GUCCACGCCGUAAACGAUGAGUGCUAGGUGUCACGGGCUUUGACCCUCGUGGUGCCGAAGCUAACGCGUUAAGCACUCCGCCUGGGGAGUACGGUCGCAAGACUAAAACUCAAAGGAAUUGACGGGGGCCCGCACAAGCGGUGGAGCAUGUUGUUUAAUUCGACGCAACGCGAAGAACCUUACCUGGGCUAGAAAGUACAGGAAGUCGGUCGAAAGGUCGAUGUGCCCUUCGGGGAACCUGUGGUUAGGUGCUGCAUGGCUGUCGU
RNAcentral lists this ribosomal RNA (266 nucleotides) under uncultured bacterium. RNAcentral's name for it is "partial 16S ribosomal RNA". It matches the Rfam family "Bacterial small subunit ribosomal RNA", at positions 793 to 1055 of the family's 1533-position model. The record is from RNAcentral.